GGGUGGUUCGCCGCCACGACGUCGCGAGAAGUUCACUGAACCUUAUCAUUUAGAGGAAGGAGAAGUCGUAACAAGGUUUCCGUAGGUGAACCUGCGGAAGGAUCAUUG
This 108-nucleotide ribosomal RNA is filed under the name Stellaria decumbens. RNAcentral's name for it is "partial 18S ribosomal RNA". It matches the Rfam family "Eukaryotic small subunit ribosomal RNA", at positions 1725 to 1831 of the family's 1831-position model. Lineage: Eukaryota; Viridiplantae; Streptophyta; Magnoliopsida; Caryophyllales; Caryophyllaceae. The record is from RNAcentral.